Transfer RNA from Alligator mississippiensis (American alligator), 72 nucleotides. It matches the Rfam family "tRNA". Rfam says of the family: Transfer RNA (tRNA) molecules are approximately 80 nucleotides in length. Lineage: Eukaryota; Metazoa; Chordata; Crocodylia; Alligatoridae. The record is from Rfam.
UCCCUGGUGGUCUAGUGGCUAGGAUUUGGUGUUCUCAUUACCAUGGCCCAGGUUCAAUUCCUGGUCAGGGAA